CUGUAUUUUGCCUGUAAGCAAAUGGAGAGCCACAUUGAACAGUGGCUGAAGAAGCCAAAAAAGAACCCAUUUUUAGGAGACAACUUUGCUCGCAAGGUUUUGUUUUUCAAUUUCCCUAAUUUUUGUUUUUCUAAUUUUACUAGCAUUUUUUUAUUUUAUUAAGCACGCCAAUCUUAAGUCUGCGGCCACUGGAACUCUUUACUGUAUGUUCAUAUCCAGUUAUGGGAGCACAGAAUUUUAUGCGAGAGGAUAAUGUACGGUUGGAGACUUCGAGAGACAGAUGUAUUUCAUAUGAAUUUCAACUUUUAUCUCGUAAUGCUAUCUUUUAAGGAUGUUAAUAUGGAGGCUGACAGUAGGGCAAUGCCAGUGGACGCAAAUAUCCCUGCAGAUUCCCAUUUUCAGGAAAGAUUACUUAUAAAAUUGGCAAUAAGGUAUUUUGUUGUUUGGAAGGGGCAAGAAUAGGCAUUCAAUAUGAGACAUCUUUUGCAGCUAUUCCUGAACCUGAAUUAUUUAUUACUGUAAGUUAUCUGGUUAUCAUGUUGGAUGUCUCUGCAAUUAUAAUUUUGUGCUUGUCGUCUCUAUGAGUUAUCUAGUUUUUGUGGUUAUUACAGAUGUUAGUAAACGUCUUUUAAGGAUUGGCUUAAUUGGUUCUUGGCCCCAUUAUAAAAUUUUACCCUGCAUACUUCUUUUAGCAAACCAUUAAUCACUUUUCACCAAAACUGGCUGCUUAACUUUUUUAUAUAUUCCUGGGGAGGUCUUUUGUAAUGGGUGCGCUGUGCACUGAUAUCUUAAGCUAUUUUGCUGUCUUGGUGAUAGAAGUUUCUAUUUGAUUUUAGUUUUUCAAGUUCCUGAUGUAUAUCUCUUUCUUGCUGGGGUUUACAGAACAAAAGUUUUGUGGAUUUCUUUCUUAAAAGGUUGACUAACCUUCCCUGGAAGAAACCUUUUUUUGCAAUUUCAUUUGAAUGUUGAUCUAUGAGAAUGACUCUUCUGUAAGAAUUUAUCAGUUGUUUCUGUCCUCUUUUCUGAGAUGUAAUACUCAUGCAUAGAGUUUCUGACCAGAAGGAAAUUUUUAUGAUUAAAAUUCUUUCUGGCUUUUAAAAUAAGAUGAUCUUGUAGCAGGGAUCAUCCAUUAGUUUAAGCUAUAAGGAAACUGAUUCUCUUUUGGUGAUUUUGCUGGAGAACCUUGCAAGCUGUACCACUCUGUGCUGCAGAGCAAGUCCUUGAACACACAAUUCCUUUCUUUCUACUGAUACCAGAAACAGAAAAUGAUCUUCUUUCGUCCAAUGCCAUGUUAAGAGAUUCAUAAAUCACAUUGGAGAACUUCUACAGACAUAUGUGGAUUGACAAGAACAGCAAGGUAAUGGUGUCUCUUAGGUGCACUGAUCUCAUCUCUGUGCUUUCUAGUCAAGUCAGAGUCCUGGUAUGGCCAACAUCUCAAAUCAAGAAAGUCGGUAUAAGUUACCCCUCUCCUGCCAGCCUAUCUUAUGUAGAGGAUGCAAUAGGACCCUUGAGCUUACCAGAAGGUGAGUUGCCUUUUUUCAAGUUAAAAAGUUUUUUAAUCUAUCAAAGUUCAAAAAUUCUAGUGUUGGAUGAUAUUUUAGUGAGGUAUUAUAAUUGUGGAUCUGGACAAUGUAGUUCAUUUUUCCUGUUAAGUGAGGGGUGGGGUUGGCUAUGAGAUAUUCUCAACUGUCAAAUUUUUCUAUGAAAUACUGGUAUUGUUUUGGAAUCGCAUCUCAGAAAAACACAGCUAAGAUGCAAA
Mangifera indica (mango) is the source of this 1759-nucleotide long non-coding RNA. RefSeq lists it as uncharacterized. The transcript is spliced from 6 exons. NCBI's taxonomy places the organism in Eukaryota, Viridiplantae, Streptophyta, Magnoliopsida, Sapindales, Anacardiaceae. The record is from RefSeq and is a predicted model, not a curated record.